AAAUUGACUGGCACUUUAAUCUUGAACUUCCAGUCGCCAGAGCUGUUGGGAUAUCUCAGAAGCAGAACCUGAGACAAGAAAGUGAGUGGAAGCACUUUAUUUGGGAGAAAGUCCCAGAAAGCACUGGUAGCUUGCACACUUGGAACACUGACUCUGAGGGAGGAUAACUACCCUAUUGUGAAGCUACUCACGAGCUUUGCAGUGAGAUCCAAAGAUGAUUCUAUGAGUAGUCAUGAGGAAUGAAAGCCUCCAGACAACCAUUGCAUGAGAGAGUUAGGAAGAGGACCCGCUAGUACCUAUCAAGUCUAUAGAGGGGAAACACUGAGCCGGAACCACCCAGCUAAGCUUCUCCCAAAUUCUUGGUUCAUUCACAAAAGCUGUGAAAAGUUUGUUCUUUUAAGCCAUUGAGUUUUGGAAUAAUUUGUUAAGCAGCAGUAGGUAACUAUUAAAAAUAAAAUUAUGUAGAUUUUUC
This is a long non-coding RNA of Callithrix jacchus (white-tufted-ear marmoset), 472 nucleotides long. RefSeq lists it as uncharacterized. The record is from RefSeq and is a predicted model, not a curated record. Lineage: Eukaryota; Metazoa; Chordata; Mammalia; Primates; Cebidae.